This 120-nucleotide non-coding RNA is filed under the name Haliotis rufescens (red abalone). The record is from RNAcentral. Lineage: Eukaryota; Metazoa; Mollusca; Gastropoda; Lepetellida; Haliotidae.
GUGUUGUUAGAAAGGAGAGAAGGUUAGCACUCCCCUCGAUAAGGACGGAAUGGGCCCUUGUGGCUCUUACAACACACAUGAGGCAGUGACUCUCUACUUAGGGGUCACACCUAUUUUUUU